Molecule: ribosomal RNA, 497 nt
Filed under: uncultured bacterium
Lineage: Bacteria
Description: partial 16S ribosomal RNA
Rfam family: Bacterial small subunit ribosomal RNA
Source: RNAcentral
GAUGAACGCUGGCGGCGUGCCUAAUACAUGCAAGUCGAGCGAACAGACGAGGAGCUUGCUCCUCUUACGUUAGCGGCGGACGGGUGAGUAACACGUGGAUAACCUACCUAUAAGACUGGGAUAACUUCGGGAAACCUGAGCUAAUACCGGAUAAUAUAUUGAACCGCAUGGUUCAAUAGUGAAAGACGGUUUUGCUGUCACUUAUAGAUGGAUCCGCGCCGCAUUAGCUAGUUGGUAAGGUAACGGCUUACCAAGGCAACGAUGCGUAGCCGACCUGAGAGGGUGAUCGGCCACACUGGAACUGAGACACGGUCCAGACUCCUACGGGAGGCAGCAGUAGGGAAUCUUCCGCAAUGGGCGAAAGCUUGACGGAGCAACGCCGCGUGAGUGAUGAAGGUCUUCGGAUCGUAAAACUCUGUUAUUAGGGAAGAACAAAAGUGUAAGUAACUAUGCACGUCUUGACGGUACCUAAUCAGAAAGCCACGGCUAACUACGUG